RNAcentral lists this ribosomal RNA (808 nucleotides) under uncultured bacterium. RNAcentral's name for it is "bacterial SSU rRNA". It matches the Rfam family "Bacterial small subunit ribosomal RNA", at positions 61 to 865 of the family's 1533-position model. The record is from RNAcentral.
GUCGAACGGGGAUGCAUUAAGAAGGAGUGCUUGCAUUCCGGAAGGAUGCAUCUUAGUGGCGGACGGGUGAGUAACGCGUGGGUAACCUGCCCCAUACCGGGGGAUACCACCUGGAAACAGGUGCUAAUACCGCAUAAGCGCACGGGAGCGCAUGCUCCUGUGUGAAAAACUCCGGUGGUAUGGGAUGGACCCGCGUCUGAUUAGCCAGUUGGCAGGGUAACGGCCUACCAAAGCGACGAUCAGUAGCCGGCCUGAGAGGGUGGACGGCCACAUUGGGACUGAGACACGGCCAAACUCCUACGGGAGGCAGCAGUGGGGAAUAUUGCACAGUGGGGGAAACCCUGAUGCAGCGACGCCGCGUGAGUGAAGAAGUAUUUCGGUAUGUAAAGCUCUAUCAGCAGGAACGAGACAAGACGGUACCUGACUAAGAAGCCCCGGCUAACUACGUGCCAGCAGCCGCGGUAAUACGUAGGGGGCAAGCGUUAUCCGGAAUCACUGGGUGUAAAGGGAGCGUAGACGGCUGAGCAAGCCUGAAGUGAAAGGCGGGGGCCCAACCCCUGGACUGCUUUGGGAACUGUACGGCUGGAGUGCAGGAGAGGUAAGUGGAAUUCCUAGUGUAGCGGUGAAAUGCGUAGAUAUUAGGAGGAACACCAGUGGCGAAGGCGGCUUACUGGACUGUAACUGACGUUGAGGCUCGAAAGCGUGGGGAGCAAACAGGAUUAGAUACCCUGGUAGUCCACGCCGUAAACGAUGAUUACUAGGUGUCGGGGGGCAGAGGCCCUUCGGUGCCGCAGCAAACGCAAUAAGU